Molecule: long non-coding RNA, 222 nt
Organism: Zea mays
Lineage: Eukaryota; Viridiplantae; Streptophyta; Magnoliopsida; Poales; Poaceae
Exons: 4
Source: RefSeq, a predicted model, not a curated record
GGAAGGGCAAGCUGUAUCGACCACCUGUGGUCAUCUUUUAUCAGGUGCAGAUGAUGCUAGGAAAAUACUCAAUAAUGAUGGUACAUGUCCAAUUUGUGAUCAGGUGCUCUCAAAAAGCCAUAUGAAACCUAUGGAUAUAAAUCCAGGUGAUGAUUGGACAAAUAUGGCAAUGGUUGGAAUAUCCCCACAAAUACGUAUCCUUCGUUUCCAUUGACCUUUCAC